GACGUAGGGGGCCAGCGUUGUUCGGAAUUACUGGGUGUAAAGGGUUCGUAGGCGGUGCGGCAAGUCGGGAGUGAAAUCUCUGGGCUUAACCCAGAGGCUGCUUCCGAAACUGCUGUGCUUGAGUGUGGGAGAGGCGCGUGGAAUUGCAGGUGUAGCGGUGAAAUGCGUAGAUAUCAAGAGGAACACCUGAGGUGAAGACGGGUUGCUGGGCCAACACUGACGCUGAGGCGCGAAAGCCAGGGGAGCAAACGGG
This 253-nucleotide ribosomal RNA is filed under the name uncultured bacterium. RNAcentral's name for it is "partial 16S ribosomal RNA". It matches the Rfam family "Bacterial small subunit ribosomal RNA", at positions 524 to 776 of the family's 1533-position model. The record is from RNAcentral.